Sus scrofa (pig) is the source of this 73-nucleotide transfer RNA. It matches the Rfam family "tRNA". Rfam says of the family: Transfer RNA (tRNA) molecules are approximately 80 nucleotides in length. Their secondary structure includes four short double-helical elements and three loops (D, anti-codon, and T loops). The record is from Rfam. Lineage: Eukaryota; Metazoa; Chordata; Mammalia; Artiodactyla; Suidae.
GCCUGCAUAGCUCAGUCUGGAGAGCAUCAGUCUUUUAAUCUGAGGGUCCAAAGUUCAAAUCCCUGUCCAGGCA